UGAACGCUGGCGGCAUGCCUUACACAUGCAAGUCGAACGGCAGCACGGGUGCUUGCACCUGGUGGCGAGUGGCGAACGGGUGAGUAAUACAUCGGAACAUGUCCUGUAGUGGGGGAUAGCCCGGCGAAAGCCGGAUUAAUACCGCAUACGAUCUACGGAUGAAAGCGGGGGACCUUCGGGCCUCGCGCUAUAGGGUUGGCCGAUGGCUGAUUAGCUAGUUGGUGGGGUAAAGGCCUACCAAGGCGACGAUCAGUAGCUGGUCUGAGAGGACGACCAGCCACACUGGGACUGAGACACGGCCCAGACUCCUACGGGAGGCAGCAGUGGGGAAUUUUGGACAAUGGGCGAAAGCCUGAUCCAGCAAUGCCGCGUGUGUGAAGAAGGCCUUCGGGUUGUAAAGCACUUUUGUCCGGAAAGAAAUCCUUGGCUCUAAUACAGUCGGGGGAUGACGGUACCGGAAGAAUAAGCACCGGCUAACUACGUGCCAGCAGCCGCGGUAAUACGUAGGGUGCGAGCGUUAAUCGGAAUUACUGGGCGUAAAGCGUGCGCAGGCGGUUUGCUAAGACCGAUGUGAAAUCCCCGGGCUCAACCUGGGAACUGCAUUGGUGACUGGCAGGCUAGAGUAUGGCAGAGGGGGGUAGAAUUCCACGUGUAGCAGUGAAAUGCGUAGAGAUGUGGAGGAAUACCGAUGGCGAAGGCAGCCCCCUGGGCCAAUACUGACGCUCAUGCACGAAAGCGUGGGGGAGCAAACAGGAUUAGAUACCCUGGUAGUCCACGCCCUAAACGAUGUCAACUAGUUGUUGGGGAUUCAUUUCCUUAGUAACGUAGCUAACGCGUGAAGUUGACCGCCUGGGGAGUACGGUCGCAAGAUUAAAACUCAAAGGAAUUGACGGGGACCCGCACAAGCGGUGGAUGAUGUGGAUUAAUUCGAUGCAGCGCGAAAAACCUUACCUACCCUUGACAUGGUCGGAAUCCUGCUGAGAGGUGGGAGUGCUCGAAAGAGAACCGGCGCACAGGUGCUGCAUGGCUGUCGUCAGCUCGUGUCGUGAGAUGUUGGGUUAAGUCCCGCAACGAGCGCAACCCUUGUCCUUAGUUGCUACGCAAGAGCACUCUAAGGAGACUGCCGGUGACAAACCGGAGGAAGGUGGGGAUGACGUCAAGUCCUCAUGGCCCUUAUGGGUAGGGCUUCACACGUCAUACAAUGGUCGGAACAGAGGGUUGCCAACCCGCGAGGGGGAGCUAAUCCCAGAAAACCGAUCGUAGUCCGGAUUGCACUCUGCAACUCGAGUGCAUGAAGCUGGAAUCGCUAGUAAUCGCGGAUCAGCAUGCCGCGGUGAAUACGUUCCCGGGUCUUGUACACACCG
This 1364-nucleotide ribosomal RNA is filed under the name uncultured beta proteobacterium. RNAcentral's name for it is "16S ribosomal RNA". It matches the Rfam family "Bacterial small subunit ribosomal RNA", at positions 30 to 1392 of the family's 1533-position model. The record is from RNAcentral. Lineage: Bacteria; Pseudomonadati; Pseudomonadota; Betaproteobacteria.